RNAcentral lists this ribosomal RNA (588 nucleotides) under uncultured bacterium. RNAcentral describes it as "bacterial SSU rRNA". It matches the Rfam family "Bacterial small subunit ribosomal RNA", at positions 338 to 917 of the family's 1533-position model. The record is from RNAcentral.
CCUACGGGAGGCAGCAGUGGGGAAUUUUGGACAAUGGGGGCAACCCUGAUCCAGCCAUUCCGCGUGAGUGAAGAAGGCCUUCGGGUUGUAAAGCUCUUUCAGCGGGAACGAAACGGUACGCUCUAACAUAGUGUGCUAAUGACGGUACCCGCAGAAGAAGCACCGGCUAACUACGUGCCAGCAGCCGCGGUAAUACGUAGGGUGCGAGCGUUAAUCGGAAUUACUGGGCGUAAAGCGUGCGCAGGCGGAUUGUUAAGCAAGAUGUGAAAUCCCCGGGCUUAACCUGGGAAUGGCAUUUUGAACUGGCAAUCUAGAGUGUGUCAGAGGGGGGUAGAAUUCCACGUGUAGCAGUGAAAUGCGUAGAGAUGUGGAGGAAUACCGAUGGCGAAGGCAGCCCCCUGGGAUAACACUGACGCUCAUGUACGAAAGCGUGGGUAGCAAUCAGGAUUAGAUACCCUGGUAGUCCACGCCCUAAACGAUGUCAACUGGUUGUUGGGAGAGUGAAAUCUCUUAGUAACGAAGCUAACGCGUGAAGUUGACCGCCUGGGGAGUACGGUCGCAAGAUUAAAACUCAAAGGAAUUGACGGA